GAUGAACGCUGGCGGCGUGCCUAAUACAUGCAAGUCGAGCGAACGGACGAGAAGCUUGCUUUUCUGAUGUUAGCGGCGGACGGGUGAGUAACACGUGGAUAGCCUACCUAUAAGACUGGGAUAACUUCGGGAAACCGGAGCUAAUACCGGAUAAUAUUUUGAACCGCAUGGUUCAAAAGUGAAAGACGGUCUUGCUGUCACUUAUAGAUGGAUCCGCGCUGCAUUAGCUAGUUGGUAAGGUAACGGCUUACCAAGGCAACGAUGCAUAGCCGACCUGAGAGGGUGAUCGGCCACACUGGAACUGAGACACGGUCCAGACUCCUACGGGAGGCAGCAGUAGGGAAUCUUCCGCAAUGGGCGAAAGCCUGACGGAGCAACGCCGCGUCAGUGAUGAAGGUCUUCGGAUCGUAAAACUCUGUUAUUAGGGAAGAACAUAUGUGUAAGUAACUGUGCACAUCUUGACGGUACCUAAUCAGAAAGCCACGGCUAACUACGUG
RNAcentral lists this ribosomal RNA (497 nucleotides) under uncultured bacterium. RNAcentral describes it as "partial 16S ribosomal RNA". It matches the Rfam family "Bacterial small subunit ribosomal RNA", at positions 28 to 507 of the family's 1533-position model. The record is from RNAcentral.